GAUGAACGCUGGCGGCGUGCCUAAUACAUGCAAGUCGAGCGAACAGACGAGGAGCUUGCUCCUCUGACGUUAGCGGCGGACGGGUGAGUAACACGUGGAUAACCUACCUAUAAUACUGGGAUAACCUCGGGAAACCGGCGCUAAUACCGGAUAAUAUAUUGAACCGCGUGGGUCAAUAGUGAAAGACGGUUUUGCUGUCACUUCUAGAUGGAUCCGCGCCGCAUUAGCUAGUUGGUAAGGUAACGGCUUACCAAGGCAACGAGGCGUAGCCGACCUGAGAGGGUGAUCGGCCACACUGGAACUGAGACACGGUCCAGACUCCUACGGGAGGCAGCAGUAGGGAAUCUUCCGCAAUGGGCGAAAGCUUGACGGAGCAACGCCGCGUGAGUGAUGAAGGUCUUCGGAUCGUAAAACUCUGUUAUUAGGGAAGAACAAAUGUGUAAGUAACUAUGCACGUCUUGACGGUACCUAAUCAGAAAGCCACGGCUAACUACGUG
Molecule: ribosomal RNA, 497 nt
Filed under: uncultured bacterium
Lineage: Bacteria
Description: partial 16S ribosomal RNA
Rfam family: Bacterial small subunit ribosomal RNA
Source: RNAcentral